CCCAAUUCAAUAAAAUGAGCCCACCAAAUCUCGCGUCAGGCGUUCACACCAAGAAACAAUGGUCACUCUGUCCUCCAAAGAAGUUAUCGAUGGUCAAAACACAAUAAAUACCAAAUAAUCUACUCACUCCGCGUAGUAGUUCAAAAUCCCUUCAUUUCUCAAUUCCUUCUAGGUUUUGGGUCGUGUAGCUGCUCUUUUUACCACCAUUUCCCAUUUUGGGCAAAUCCGGGUAUGUUAUCUAUCUAUUUUUUCGUUUUCCAUUUCGUUUUUUGUUUGAAUUUCGUGUUUUUCUGGAACAAGUUGGUGUUUUUGUUUAGUUUGCGUUUGCGAUUUUAGGGUUUUGUUGAAGAUUAAUGUUGGGUUUGUUUUUGUGGAUUUGGCGUAGGUGGGUGAGCGGUAAGUGGUGACUGUUUUGAGUGGAGGUUGUGGCCUGGAAUCGAGGAGAGGGAAGCUCAUGUGG
This 460-nucleotide long non-coding RNA is filed under the name Solanum tuberosum (potato). RNAcentral describes it as "long non-coding RNA (STUB_LNC011788)". Lineage: Eukaryota; Viridiplantae; Streptophyta; Magnoliopsida; Solanales; Solanaceae. The record is from RNAcentral.